Molecule: ribosomal RNA, 467 nt
Filed under: uncultured bacterium
Lineage: Bacteria
Description: partial 16S ribosomal RNA
Rfam family: Bacterial small subunit ribosomal RNA
Source: RNAcentral
GACGAACGCUGGCGGCGUGCUUAACACAUGCAAGUCGAACGGAAAGGCCUCUUUCGGGGGGUACUCGAGUGGCGAACGGGUGAGUAACACGUGAGUAACCUGCCCUUGACUUUGGGAUAACUUCAGGAAACUGGGGCUAAUACCGGAUAGGAGCUCCUGCUGCAUGGUGGGGGUUGGAAAGUUUCGGCGGUUGGGGAUGGACUCGCGGCUUAUCAGCUUGUUGGUGGGGUAGUGGCUUACCAAGGCUUUGACGGGUAGCCGGCCUGAGAGGGUGACCGGCAACAUUGGGACUGAGGUACGGACCAGACUCCGACGGGAGGCAGCAGUGGGGAAUAUUGCACAAUGGGUGGAAGCCUGAUGCAGCAACGCCGUGUGCGGGAGGACGGCCUUCGGGUUGGAAACCGCUUUCGCUCAUGACGAAGCUUUGUGUGACGGUAGUGGGUAAAGAAGCACCGGCUAACUACGUG